Molecule: ribosomal RNA, 425 nt
Filed under: uncultured bacterium
Lineage: Bacteria
Description: bacterial SSU rRNA
Rfam family: Bacterial small subunit ribosomal RNA
Source: RNAcentral
UGCCAGCAGCCGCGGUAAGACGUAGGAUCCGAGCGUUGUCCGGAGUUACUGGGCGUAAAGCGCGCGCAGGCGGAUACGCGCAUCGGCGGUGAAAGCCCCCCGCUCAACGGGGGAGGGUCCGUCGAGAUGGCGUGUCUGGAGGCAGGGAGAGGCCAGUGGAAUUCCGGGUGUAGUGGUGAAAUGCGUAGAGAUCCGGAGGAACACCAGUGGCGAAGGCGGCUGGCUGGACCUGACCUGACGCUGAGGCGCGAAGGCGUGGGGAGCGAACGGGGUUAGAUACCCCGGUAGUCCACGCAGUAAACGAUGGGUACUAGGUGUGGCGGGAGUUGACCCCUGCCGUGCCGGCGCUAACGCAGUAAGUACCCCGCCUGGGGAGUACGGCCGCAAGGCUAAAACUCAAAGGAAUUGACGGGGGCCCGCACAAG